UUUCCAACUUCAAUCUAACACUUACAAAGUGAUAAUGAAUACUUGGAUUAGAAUUUAAUACUUAAAAGGUGAAUAAUUUUUUCCAGAUAGAUUAAUGUUAAUGUUAAUGUUCUUGAACAUAGAUUAUCUUUCUCAAGAGGUCAACAACGGAUUCACAUUCUUGCAAUAUGAAGAGCUCCCAAUCCAAAAGGCAUCCCGUCUAUUUUUCAGAUCAAAUUAAACUGCACAAACAUUAUCAAAUGUAGCUACCAAUACAGAUAUGGAAGAAUUGCGCAAGUCCUUACAUCCACACAAGAACCUAAAAGAAGGGAGACAAUUAGAACAAAGAGUAAGAGGAAAGCAACUUAUUGGGCACAUUUCAUCGAGUUUUUAGAAGAUGGAAAACUACGAGCUGAAUGUAGGUAGUGUGAGAAAACUUUUGCUGCUGAUGGUAAUCUUAAUGGAUUAAAGAAUGUUAAGAAUCAUUAUGAAAGAAGUUUUGGUAAUCCUCUUAAUAAAGAAAAGAGUAAAGGAAAGCAAAGUGAGAUAUUUUUUUCAACAUGGGGAAGGAGAUAAAGAUAAUGAGGAUGAGAAAUUGAAGUAUGGGACUGUAAAUGUAAAAGAUGUUAGGGAAGCAUUAAUUCAUAUGAUUAUUGUUGAUGAGCUUCCAUUUAAACAUGUGGGAAAAGCUGGUUUUAAGCAUUUUGUGCAAGUUGCUUGUCCCAGAUUUCACAUUCCAUCUCGUACUACUAUUGCUUGUGAUUGUUUGCAACUUGACUUUAGUGAAAAGAAGUUGAAAGAAACUUUAAGGAGUUGUCAAAGAAUUUGUGUGACAACUGAUACUUGGACAUAAUUAUAUGUGUCUCACUGUUCAUUUCAUUGAUAACGAUUGAAAAUUAAAUAAAAAGAUAAUAAAUUUUUGUCCAAUUUCUAGUCAUAAAGGUGAGGCCAUUGGUAAAGCUGUUGAGGGAUGCUUAGAACAUUGGGGUAUUGAGGAUAAGCUUUUUACCGUUACAGUUGACAAUGCUAGCUCUAAUGACCUUGCUUGUGCUCAUUUAAAAAGAAUGGUUCAACGAACUGGUUGUGUUAUUGGUGGAAAUUUUCUUCAUGUUAUAUGCAUUGCUCAUAUUAUUAAUAUUAUUGUUUGGGAUGACAUUAGGGAGCAUGGUGUAUGCAUUGAUAGGGUUAGAAAUGCUUUAAAGUAUGUUAAAAAUUCCCCUGCAAGAAUACUUAGAUUUAAAGAACUUGUUUCAAAGGCAAAUAUACAAAGCAAGUCUUCUUUGUCAUUUGAUGUCCCCACCCGAUGGAACUCAACCUACACUAUGUUAGAUAUGGCUUUGAAAUUUCAACGUGUCUUUAGUAGGAUAUCCCUUCCUGAUGGGGAGGUUGUGAAGGAUAACGAAAGGCCUCCGGAAUGUGAUAAUUGGAAAAAAAGUAGAGAGAUUAGUAGUGUUUUUGAAGGGAUUUUACCUUUUAAGUCGUCGUAUUUCGAGUUCACUUUAUGUGACAAGUAAUAAAGGUUUAUUUGAGAUUGUGGCCAUUUAUGAUAUGUUGAACAAAUGGGUAGAACAUUCUGAUUUGGAUUUUCAAGCCAUGGGUCUUGCAAUGAAAGCAAAAUAUGAUAAAUAUUGGGGAAAUGUGGACGAAAUGAAUAUGUUUAUCUAUAUUGUUGUGGUUCUUGAUCCUCACUCCAAAUUGGAGGUUGUUGAAUUGACACUUUGUGAUAUGUAUGGAAAAGAAAAGGGCUUGGAGCUUGCUAAUCAUGUGAAGGAAUAUGCUUAUACUUUAUUUGAUGAGUAUAGAGCUGCAUAUUCUUCUUCUAUUCCUUCAAGUGGACAAAGUGGGAAUUCCAUGUCAAUUGAUGUGGAUGAUGAUGAUAACAUAGGAGGGUGGAGUCAACUACAUGAAAAGUCUCAUGGAUAGAGCAAAGAGGUUGAAAGGAUCGAGUGGAUAUGUGAGGAAUGAGUUUGAAAGGUAUUUGAAUGAACAACUAGGUAGUGAGGAAGAAGAUUUGGAUACAUUAUCUUGGUGGGCUCGUAAUGAACACCGUUAUCCAAUUGUUUCACGCAUGGCUCAUGACAUACUAGCCAUCCCUUUGUCCACCGUUACAUCGAAAUCCGCUUUUAGUGCGGGAAGUCGUCAUCUUGAUCCAUUUAGGAGCUCCUUGACUCCUGAGGUAAUACAUUUCAUUCAUGGAAAACAAGUUGCUCUAUCGUUUUUAUAUAGUUUGGAUGUGUUAUAAUUUUAUUUCAUUUUUUUGUAACAUGGUUCAAACUCUAAUUUGUACACAAGAUUGGCUUAGAGCAAAGGGAAUGUCGAGAGUUAAUGUGGACGAAAAUAUAAAAGCGUUGGAGGAAAUUGAGAAAGAUGUGCAAUGUAAUGAUUUGGAUGAUGAUGUCGAUCUUGUAUACUCCUUUGUGUGAUCGAAUUGGAGAAAAAAGAAAAUCUUGAAGAUUUGUGAUUGUCAAGUUAUUUUGAAGAUAUUAUGUAGUUUAUGUUAAUAUUGCCUAAACUUAAGAACUUGAACUUUUAAAGUUAUUUUGUUUUUCAAAGUGAUGACUUUUAAAAUUAAUUAUUGUGUAUUAAGUUGGAUUGUUGAGGACUUGAUGUUACAAAUUGAUGUAUUGAACAUUUGAGCUUGUUAUUAAGUUUUGAACAAACUUUGGCA
Long non-coding RNA from Beta vulgaris subsp. vulgaris (sugar beet), 2647 nucleotides. RefSeq lists it as uncharacterized. The transcript is spliced from 3 exons. NCBI's taxonomy places the organism in Eukaryota, Viridiplantae, Streptophyta, Magnoliopsida, Caryophyllales, Amaranthaceae. The record is from RefSeq and is a predicted model, not a curated record.